AACGAACGCUGGCGGCAUGCCUAACACAUGCAAGUCGAACGAUGCCUUCGGGCAUAGUGGCGCACGGGUGCGUAACGCGUGGGAAUCUGCCCUUGGCUUCGGAAUAACAGUUAGAAAUGACUGCUAAUACCGGAUGAUGUCCCCCUGAGAGAUCUUGGGGACCAAAGAUUUAUCGGCCAGGGAUGAGCCCGCGUAGGAUUAGGUAGUUGGUGGGGUAAAGGCCUACCAAGCCGACGAUCCUUAGCUGGUCUGAGAGGAUGAUCAGCCACACUGGGACUGAGACACGGCCCAGACUCCUACGGGAGGCAGCAGUGGGGAAUAUUGGACAAUGGGGGGAACCCUGAUCCAGCAAUGCCGCGUGAGUGAUGAAGGCCUUAGGGUUGUAAAGCUCUUUUACCAGGGAUGAUAAUGACAGUACCUGGAGAAUAAGCUCCGCCUAACUCCGUG
This 447-nucleotide ribosomal RNA is filed under the name uncultured bacterium. Its description in RNAcentral is "partial 16S ribosomal RNA". It matches the Rfam family "Bacterial small subunit ribosomal RNA", at positions 29 to 507 of the family's 1533-position model. The record is from RNAcentral.